GGAAUUUUUGUGAUCCAAUACAUGAGGUGCUACAAUGGAGUUGAAGUAAAACAAUUCUCAAAUGUUGACUUGCAAGCAAUCCGAGAAAAAGUCUCAUGCCAGCUAGUGAUAAACAAAUUUAAUGAGCAACAGGUGCCAAUAGCACGAGAAUUCAUUUCGAAGCAUGCUCCACAUCUUCUUCAUUGAUUAAGUUAGCAAUUUAUUUCAAGGAGA
Lolium rigidum is the source of this 213-nucleotide long non-coding RNA. RefSeq lists it as uncharacterized. The transcript is spliced from 3 exons. Lineage: Eukaryota; Viridiplantae; Streptophyta; Magnoliopsida; Poales; Poaceae. The record is from RefSeq and is a predicted model, not a curated record.